GUGCCAGCCGCCGCGGUAAUACAGAGGGGGCAAGCGUUGUUCGGAAUUACUGGGCGUAAAGGGCGCGUAGGCGGCCUUCUAAGUCAGACGUGAAAUCCCUCGGCUCAACCGGGGAACUGCGUCUGAGACUGGAAGGCUUGAAUCCGGGAGAGGGAUGUGGAAUUCCAGGUGUAGCGGUGAAAUGCGUAGAUAUCUGGAGGAACACCGGUGGCGAAGGCGGCAUCCUGGACCGGUAUUGACGCUGAGGCGCGAAAGCCAGGGGAGCAAACGGGAUUAGAAACCCUGGUAGUCC
RNAcentral lists this ribosomal RNA (292 nucleotides) under uncultured bacterium. RNAcentral's name for it is "partial 16S ribosomal RNA". It matches the Rfam family "Bacterial small subunit ribosomal RNA", at positions 505 to 796 of the family's 1533-position model. The record is from RNAcentral.